GAUGAACGCUGGCGGCGUGCUUAAUACAUGCAAGUCGAGCGAACAGACGAGGUGCUUGCUCCUCUGACGUUAGCGGCGGACGGGUGAGUAACGUGUGGAUAACCUCCCUCUAAGACUGGGAUAACUUCGGGAAACCGGUGCUAAUAACGGCUAAUCUAUUGUACGGCAUGGUUAAAUAGUGUUCGAUGUUUUUGCUGUCCCUUAUAGAUGGGUCUGCGCCGCAUUUGAUAGUUGGUAAGGUCACGGCUUACCAAGGCGACGAUGCGUAGCCGACCUGAGAGCGUGAUCGGCCACACAGGAGCUGGGACGCGGUCCAGACUCCGACAGGAGGCAGAAGUAGGGAAUCGUGCGCGAAGGGCGGAAGCUUGACGGAGCAACGCCGCGUGAGUGAUGAGGGGCCUCGGAUCGGAAAACUCUGUUAGUGGGGAAGAACAAAUGUGUAAGGAACUAUGCACGUCUUGACGGUACCUGAUCAGAAAGCCACGGCUAACUACGUG
Molecule: ribosomal RNA, 497 nt
Filed under: uncultured bacterium
Lineage: Bacteria
Description: partial 16S ribosomal RNA
Rfam family: Bacterial small subunit ribosomal RNA
Source: RNAcentral